CAGAUCCUACGGGAGGCAGCAGUAGGGAAUUUUCGGCAAUGGGCGCAAGCCUGAACGAGCAAUGCCGCGUGAACGAGGAAGGUCUUCGGAUCGUAAAGUUCUGUUGAAGGGGAAAAAGAGCGGAGAGAGGAAAUGAACUCCGAUUGAUAUUACCCUUCGAGGAAGUCACGGCUAACUACGUGCCAGCAGCCGCGGUAAUACGUAGGUGGCGAGCGUUAUCCGGAAUGAUUGGGCGUAAAGGGUGCGUAGGCGGCCUGCUAAGUCUGGAG
RNAcentral lists this ribosomal RNA (269 nucleotides) under uncultured bacterium. Its description in RNAcentral is "partial 16S ribosomal RNA". It matches the Rfam family "Bacterial small subunit ribosomal RNA", at positions 332 to 594 of the family's 1533-position model. The record is from RNAcentral.